GUACGGGGGCGGGGGCGUGGACCUCCACAUAUACACUUGUACACGUAUACACAUAGGUGUGCAUGUCAGUAUACAUACAUGGAAAGAGUGCGUGUGGCAGUGCACAUACAUGUCUGCCUGUUUGCGCACACCUGCAUGCACACACACGCAGUAUGCACCUGCAGGCACGCUGUACCCUAUGUGCUACACGUGCACUGUGUGUAUACACCUACACAUGCAGAUGCGUGUGCAUGCAUGUACACACACACACACACACACGUGCAUGCAUGUACAUGGCUGCAUGGGCUCACACACCGAGUGCGUGAGUAGGGGUGGGAGUCAGUCAGCUCUGUGAGGCAUGUGAACACCUGCAUGCGAUUCACGAGGUUUCCGGCAGGAAGCCGUAGCAUCAGAAGCCGUUCGUAUCUGCUGUGGCAAGAGGUAGGGGUGGGCGUCAGUCUACUAUUUUUCAUAAUGAAAAACAGUGAAAUUAAUUUUUGAAAAGCAGGUGCCACAAAACUCAGGCCAGUUGCAGACGGGCGUCUGGAGCCGAAACAGGCUGAGAAACCCCCGUGCUAGGUACAGGAAGCCACGAUGAUCGCUUUCUCGACAGCAUCUUCAAUAGCAACUGGGUAUAUUUUUCAUGCCUGUUAAUGGGGACUGAUUUCAGACACGCUCCAGUGAAGACAUUAAGUAGGACUGAAAUUGUCUCCUUGUUUCAUUCAGCGUAGGCCUAAAGGCCUCAAGUUGCAGUUAGUUGGUUACUGAACAAACUGCCGGUUUUCAGGGAGUCUCCAGCGCUCGACGCUCCUCACCUCCCGCUCCAGCGCUCGGCGCUGUCUCCCCCGGGCACUGACGCUCCUGGUUAUGCCUCUGGCUUUGCUUACACAAGAAGUUGAACCAGUUUAACUCUGGUUUACUCAAUCUGGUCAAUUUAAGUAGUGCACACCAAUUCACAGGUGCUUUUCUUGGUGUAGCUUGUGUUGAUAACUUUUUAAAACCAAUUUUAUUUAAAUAGGCACAAUAUCUGGCUAGGUGAGGGUUGAAAUGUCAUUUCCCACACCCUUUGCAUAGUCAUAAUUCACUAAUUGAGAAAUUAACUUUUUUUUCUUCUUCUUUCAGCGCUACGACUUGUUGUGAAGCAUUUACAGCUGCUCCACUUAUGCAUAUUUUCCAACAGGCAGGAUCUUUUGAAAACGAUACCUAAUGUUAUAUUAUUAAAAUGGCUAUCCAUACAAGGCAGAGUGUAAAAAUGAAAAUGCUGACAGGUUCAAGCAGGACAGUUUCAGGAAAGUAUGACUUGAGAGAGGCAGCCAGACAGACAAUCCAAAUGCUUCAGUUGGCAGGAUGAAGUGAUAUGCUAAUGUAAGAGAAAAGAGCCCUUGCUUUCUGUAAGUGCCUUCGUUGCAUCCCAAGAAGGAAAGCUGCUGCAUCAUUGAACCAGUUAGUCUCCAGUGUGCCACCCUGCCCAGAUUUCUUCCAAGGAAGGAGUAGUGGAUGUGAUCUCUGCAAAAAGAAAGCUUGUCUGGUAAAGAGCAAUUUUCCUCUUUAAGUAGCUUUUGACAUUAAAGCAAAGAACUCUCAAUACCAUAUUUUAUGUACUUUUGAAAAAUGGGCUGUUUACUUCGUUCUGUCUGUGCGGGAUAUGCAGAUUGAGGACUGUACUGUGUCAUACACAAACAUCUGCGACCCUGGGUAGAGUAUGUAAUGCUGUAAACGUUACAGUCCACGUGCUUGCACAGAGCAUUGCAUAGAAACUAGAAGAGUUUGUGCCAGAGCCAGGGGCACAGGAGUGGCUUUUUAAGAACUGUCCUUAUGUCUGUUUCUUUUAGUUUGUAGAGGUUAAAACUUUCUGAAACAUUAUGCAAAGCUGAGGUAUAGCACCCCUGCUAAUACAGUAUGUAAAUAUUCUCAUUACAUUUGGGGGGCAUAUUUCACCAUUUUGACAUAUAGCAGUGCUAUAGAGGGGCAUGACAAGGAGCAAUCUAUACCUGCAGCAAUGAUGAAGCAGUUAUAUUUCAGACAUAACAUCAUUCUUUGUAAAAAUAGUCCUCACUCUCUCUAGGCUAAAACAUCACGGCCACCUGUAAGGUUUGUUAUGCUACAGUCAAAACUGCAGUUGAAAGGGAUUUCUUCUUUCCUUUUAGUUUUGUUAACUUACGGAGGAGGAAAUAAUUUCAGUUCACUUUAGGAAUCGGUCCCGUUCCUUUGCACCUGUUUUCCCUAAGUUAGUCCUUGGAACAAUACCGGCUCAAUUAUAGUGAAGUAAUAUCAUGCAUUUUGAGCUUGUGGAAUCCACAGACCGCGUAAUUCUCUGCAUUUCCUCCCCCUUCCUUGCAUCCCACUUUUUGACAGUGUCCUUCUGCUGGAGCUAUGCUGGAAAACCUUGCAACCUUGCGUGUGCGUGUGUGCGUGCAUGUGUGUGCGUGUGCACACAUGCUGCAUGCAAAAUCCUACACUUUGUUUAGUCUGCAGAACCUCUUCUGUUAGCUAACGCUCCAGGCUCCGCAAAGGUGCAGUGAGAGAGGAGCACUAGUAAGUACCUAAGGCAGAAAGCAAACAAGGGCUUUAUCACUGGUCUUUAACUCCUAUCAAAAGGGGAGGGAGGGAGAAGUCAUUUAAACAUGAGGCUUGAAUGAAAAUUAGCAUGGAUUAGUCACAGUUGUCCCAGGAGUCCUGUUAUCUCAGGUCACAGGUACUUAUGGUAGGGAGUGGGGUACUUUACCUGUAGGAUCCCCAAGUGAAAGACUCUUGAGGGAGCCAAGAGGGGGAGGAAGAGUCCUGGGUCUGUUUUUAGCCAAAGGGAAUUCCCCUUGAGGCAUGGCAGGAGUAGUGUGUGUCUCCCUGUCUUUUCCCAGUGGAUGAGCUCCUGGGCAGUUCAUGCAUGGAGGAAGGAUGACUCUCUAGCCUGUUCCCCGCAGGUAAACGGCAACAAAUUGAACUGAUUUGGAGAAACAAGUGGGUUACGUCUGAGCAGCUUCCUUGCUUGCUAGUCAGUUGGCUGAAGAGUGGUUGAUGCUGAUGUUACUUAAUACUAGAUUUACCCUUCUGUGGCCCCUGGCAGAGAGAUCGGGGCAUUCAUCCUCCACUUUGCACAGACUGGAGGGAACAACCUGGCUCCCAUCUUAGUUUUGAAGAACUUCAUUGCUGAAAAAUCAAAUGCGCACGUGUUCCCUAAGGAACGUAUCCAUUCAAAGGCAUGAAAUAUAAACGUAUAUUGUUACGUGCAAAUGCUUUGCACAAGUACAUUUGCUGGAUGCAUUUGGUAUGUUCUUCAAGCAAGUAGUGUCGUUAGCUGUUAAAUUCUUGACUCCUCUGUUAGGCUUGGGACAGAAAUUACACACAAGCUGGUCUAAGAGAUUGGAAACAGGUUCAGAUCUGGAACACAACAGAAGGAUGGGGCACAUAAGCCACUUUCAAGAUUGCCGAAACAGGUUUAAGAUAAGCCUGGAUGGAUGUAGUAUUAGACUGAACUGAUUUAGAUUAAACUGGUUUAUUGUACUUCUGACCCAGACCCUCUCCAGAUUCAUAUUAACACAUAGUCCCCCAGCAUCCCUGGACCUCUGCCAGCCUGCAAGGGAAAAGCCACCUUUGCCCACGUUUUCCUCCAUUAAAAGACAAUCCACCCUUAAAGUUUGUUGAUCCAGUUUUAAAGUUUGUUCGUGACCCUUUCAUAGGCACUUGUGACCCCCUUUUGGGACACAACCCGCGAACUGAGAACCGCUGCGGUAGAGCAGCAGGGUCGGUCGCGGAGCGCGCUGCUGCGGAGCGGAGGGGCAGUGCCGCUCAACCCUGUGAGACGGGUCCCACGUACCAGAUCAGACCUCUUUGUGGGCCAGAUUAAGCCUGUGGGCUGGAGAUUGCCACCCCCUCUUAUAGCUCCUUUUCAGCUGGGGCUUUGUAGAUGCUCCUGUUACCUUGUUUCUACAUCGAAAGACUCGUGCUACACGGCAGGGUAGGCUUUCACCUCGUAGACUAAGUCAAUCAGAGGUGCGUAAGCUUUUGUAAGCGAGCUCGCUUCAUACCCCUUUCUUUUUCCUCCCUUCCCUACCCUUUGUUUUCCAGUAACUGCUCUCUGUUUAGAACCGCUGCUUCCUGAAACGUCUUGUUUGACAACAGAGCCGUCCAGUUUCUGAGUGGCUGGGGCUGCAGCCCCCCUAUCCGCAUGCUGUAGGGGCUGCAUGCCCACCAGAGCCGCCUCCUGCACGAGCUGAAAGGGGUCUGCAGGACCUCCCCAGCCACAGACUCCCUUGCACCAGGACUGUGCCGCCCUGCCUUGGCCCUAGUGCACAAGGGGUGGCGGGGGGAAGUGGGCACGCAGGAAGCAGAUGCUGGGCUAGGGAAGGGGAUUUUGGUGGCAGCAGCAGCAGCGAAGCGAUGGGGCAAGCAGACUCGGGACUGGGAGUUUGGGAGCUGCACGCAGCCCACAGGCCGCCAGUCGGAUGCCCGUAACUGGUUGGCUUUCUGUGGUUUACUCUCCUUAUGUGCUGUCCCUAUAUUCAUUUUAGUUCUCGUUGAGUUUUCCUUUUCUUACUCCUUCUUCGAAACAUCUCCUAGGUUGAUCCUGACGGUAAAACAAGCGUACCCGUUAAGAUGACUGCGGGGAAAGUAUCCUGUUUUCAUCUACGCAGCCUGCAAUUAAACUGCAAAACCGGGCCGACGUGUGGAGUGGAUGGAGCAAGCUCCGAGUUCCGCUCCCGGCACCGGAAAAUGCGUUCAAUGCGUCAGUCCUCGCAUCGAGAACACAUUACUGCUGGGAGUUUUUGCCACGUAGGAACGCGGUUCAUCUGCGACCAUGUGGAUUCCUGGAACGUCCCCAAAAGCACUCGCGGUUCUUCUGUGGGAAUUCUUCGCUAGGCGACUCGACACCAAAGGGAAGGCGACUGAAGUGGCACGCAGCUCGGCUGAUUCCUUGCCUGGUUUGACUUGCCUGUAGCCGUCCUCUUCAUCAAGAACGGUGAACAGCUUUUUACCUGACAAGCUCUUUUGCACAUCCUCUACAGCGGGAAUAGAACAGUGCUGCCUCGAUACUGCCUCGUUGAGGUCUCGCGGGUAUAAACCAAGCGGUAGCGAACCAUCCUUCUUUUGUGCCAUCACGAGGCUAUUGACCCAGGGUGCGUGGGCUUAGUCAACUUCGUAAGGACUCUCACAGCUUCCAGCGUUUCGAGGGCAGUCUUCUACGUGCCUAGGGUUGCACAGGGAAUUUUUCUACACCCGUACACCGCUGGUGGUACUGCCGGGUCGACACAGAUGUGGUAGGUACCGGGAAAUAGGCCCACCCCUUCGAAAACGUCCGGACAUAGUUUGAGAAGGUCCGCCUUGGUUGCGGGUAUUGUCGGGGCCAUUCCGUGGACUCGUCUGAUGAGGUCCGACGUGGUGCAAGCCACCCUACUAGGUCUUGGUGGGUCACUAUUGUCAGUUAGGUAGAAAGGUACAUCAGAUUCAUUAGCACCAGAUUUGCAGCCUGCAAUGCCUGCACCUUUUGGUUUCAUGGGUGCACCGCCAAAUGCGACUAAUGUAACAUGAGUUUGAGCCUUGCAUAGUUUUCCCUGCAAAGCUUUUGCUACAGCUACUGGAAUAGCGUUUGCCUCUGCUCCAGUAUCUAACUUCAAACAAGCUGGCAAGCCAGCGGUCAUCACUGGGCUAUACCAGGGGUGUAGGUUGUAGCCGUGUUGGUCUAAGGACCCAGGCAGACAAGGUUCCUUGGGUGAAUUUGAUAUCUUGUAUUAGACCAACCCAAAUAGUUGGAGAAUAGUUAUUAAGCAAGCUUUCGGGUUCAAAAACCCUUCAUCAGGCUAAGGAGGUUUCAGCACUUGGUGUGCGCUCUUCCUGGAUGGGAUGAAAAGUCAAGAAGCCAGGGGCUGGGCUGGGCUGGGGAAUCAGUGGCCAGGCAGACUGUAACGUAUCAAAACUCCUGUGCUAUACCUGCGCUAUCCCAGGCACUCUGCUUAUCAACGGUGGGUGAGUGCUGCUUGGCAGACACUGCGCCCAUAUAGAGGGUACUGACUCCUUUUGCAGAUUUUGGAGCCCCUCCCUUUGAUUUGCACAUUUCUGCAAAGUGGUUCGCUCCAGAGCAUUUGUAACAGGUUUCUCCAAAAGCUGGGCAGGAUCUAGGCUUGCGUGUGCUUCCGCAUCGUUUGCAAACUUUGCCCUUUGCAGCUUGAUGGCCCUCCUGUGGAGCAAACUGCACCGGUGGUUUGCUUUGCUUUUGCAAAGUGCUAUGGCAGCUUUGCUUCUGCUCAACUGUAUGCAAGCUUGCUUCUGUAGAGAGCCUUUGGUCUGCCUACUCCGACAGGUCACUUCUGACACCAUACAGUGUUGGCCUUGGCCACGGGGUCCCUGGGACGGGGUACUCACUCGGACCUCCACGCCCCUGGGCUUCUGUCCUCGAGUCAGCGUUCAGCAGAGCGACUGGUGGGACGGCAAACAGCUUCAUCUUUAUUAGCAACAGGAUUCAGCAACACACGCUCACAGCUUGCGGGGGGAGAACAACAACAACCACCACCCGCACACCGCACCCACCGGGCAUCGGGGGAAGGACCGGAGUGUGCCACCGCAGGCCCCUUCCAGGCACAACAGGGAUGUCCACUGACACACAAUUAAGCGUGUGCACAGAAACAGUGAAGCGCAAUCACGUGCAAGCCUGUUCUAGUUGUUAGCUGUGAGCUAGCUGAGAACAACUAAGACGAAGCAAAGGAGAGGCGCCGCAGCCGAAACCGGAAAGGAAGGUUUUGCUCUCUUUCGGUCGUCUGCAGCUCCUUCACAGGCAACAAUUAAGGGUGUUCCUGUUCCACUACCGGUGGGUGGGUUCGCGCUCAGUGAUUAACGGGUGUUCAAUCACAACUGAAGCACAAUCACACUCUCACAGGCAACAAUUAAGGGUGUUCCUGUUCCACUACCAGUGGGUGGGUUUGCGCUCAGUGAUUAACGGGUGUUCAAUCACAACUGCAGACACUCACACUCUCACAGGCAACAAUUAAGGGUGUUCCCGUUCAAAUACCGGUGGGUGGGCUCACACUCAGUGAUUAACGGGUGUUCAAGCACAACUGCAAACAUUCACACUCUCACAGGCAACAAUUAAGGGUGUUCCCAUUAUACUGGUGGGUGGGCUCACACUCAGUGAUUAACGGGUGUUCAAGCACAACUGAAGCACAAUCACAGUCUCACAGGCAACAAUUAAGGGUGUUCCCGUUCAAAUACCGGUGCGUGGGCUCACACUCAGUGAUCAACGGGUGUUCAAGCACAACUGAAGCACAAUCACAGUCUCACAGGCAACAAGGGUGUUCCCGUUCAAAUACUGGUGCGUGGGCUCACACUCAGUGAUCAACGGGUGUUCAAGCACAACUGAAGCACAAUCACACUCACAGGCAACAAUUAAGGGUGUUCCUGUUCAAAUACAACCGGUUGGGCUCACACUCAGUGAUUAACUGUGUUCAAGCACAACUGAAGCACAUUCCCGCUCUGCCACUAAGCACGGUGGCACCGACCAGUGAAGCGCAUUGCCCCUCGGGGAUUAGAGCCCGUUCCCCCUCAGGGAUCAGCAGCUGCCCUUUUGAUCCCUGCCCCUUUGACAAGGGCUCCCAGUGUACCCGUCUCUGCUCAGGGGCUUGCUGCUGCUGCUGCUGCUGCUGCUGUUGCUGUGCUGCUGCUGGCGGGGAGAUCAGGGCUGGAGGAACGCCCCGCGAGACGCUGUCGUCAUCGCGCUCACUCCGGCUUUGAGCAAAUCAUCUCUCCUCUCAUGGCCAGCGAGGAGGAGGCGAGAGGCAGGGCAGUGUUGAGAGGGCAUGAAUGGGGGGGCCUUUGGGCUAC
Alligator mississippiensis (American alligator) is the source of this 7788-nucleotide long non-coding RNA. RefSeq lists it as uncharacterized. The transcript has 5 exons. NCBI's taxonomy places the organism in Eukaryota, Metazoa, Chordata, Crocodylia, Alligatoridae. The record is from RefSeq and is a predicted model, not a curated record.